GGUUAAGCGACUAAGCGUACACGGUGGAUGCCCUGGCAGUCAGAGGCGAUGAAGGACGUGCUAAUCUGCGAAAAGCGUCGGUAAGGUGAUAUGAACCGUUAUAGCCGGCGAUGUCCGAAUGGGGAAACCCAGUGCAAUUCGUUGCACUAUCGUUAACUGAAUACAUAGGUUAACGAGGCGAACCGGGGGAACUGAAACAUCUAAGUACCCCGAGGAAAAGAAAUCAACCGAGAUUCCCCCAGUAGCGGCGAGCGAACGGGGAGCAGCCCGGAGUCUGAAUCAGCUUGUGUGUUAGUGGAAGCGUCUGGAAAGUCGCAGGGUACAGGGUGAUACUCCCGUACACUAAAACACACAGGUUGUGAACUCGAAGAGUAGGGCGGGACACGUGGUAUCCUGUCUGAAUAUGGGGGGACCAUCCUCCAAGGCUAAAUACUCCUGACUGACCGAUAGUGAACCAGUACCGUGAGGGAAAGGCGAAAAGAACCCCGGCGAGGGGAGUGAAAAAGAACCUGAAACCGUGUACGUACAAGCAGUAGGAGCCCACUAGUUGGGUGACUGCGUACCUUUUGUAUAAUGGGUCAGCGACUUAUAUUCUGUAGCAAGGUUAACCGUAUAGGGGAGCCGCAGGGAAACCGAGUCUUAACUGGGCGUUAAGUUGCAGGGUAUAGACCCGAAACCCGGUGAUCUAGCCAUGGGCAGGUUGAAGGUUGGGUAACACUAACUGGAGGACCGAACCGACUAAUGUUGAAAAAUUAGCGGAUGACUUGUGGCUGGGGGUGAAAGGCCAAUCAAACCGGGAGAUAGCUGGUUCUCCCCGAAAGCUAUUUAGGUAGCGCCUCGUGAACUCAUCUUCGGGGGUAGAGCACUGUUUCGGCUAGGGGGUCAUCCCGACUUACCAACCCGAUGCAAACUACGAAUACCGAAGAAUGUUAUCACGGGAGACACACGGCGGGUGCUAACGUCCGUCGUGAAGAGGGAAACAACCCAGACCGCCAGCUAAGGUCCCAAAGUCAUGGUUAAGUGGGAAACGAUGUGGGAAGGCCCAGACAGCCAGGAUGUUGGCUUAGAAGCAGCCAUCAUUUAAAGAAAGCGUAAUAGCUCACUGGUCGAGUCGGCCUGCGCGGAAGAUGUAACGGGGCUAAACCAUGCACCGAAGCUGCGGCAGCGACGCUUAUGCGUUGUUGGGUAGGGGAGCGUUCUGUAAGCCGUUGAAGGUGGCCUGUGAGGGUUGCUGGAGGUAUCAGAAGUGCGAAUGCUGACAUAAGUAACGAUAAUGCGGGUGAAAAACCCGCACGCCGGAAGACCAAGGGUUCCUGUCCAACGUUAAUCGGGGCAGGGUGAGUCGACCCCUAAGGCGAGGCCGAAAGGCGUAGUCGAUGGGAAACAGGUUAAUAUUCCUGUACUUGGUGUUACUGCGAAGGGGGGACGGAGAAGGCUAUGUUGGCCGGGCGACGGUUGUCCCGGUUUAAGCAUGUAGGCGGAUGUUCCAGGUAAAUCCGGAACGUUACUAACGCUGAGGUGUGAUGACGAGGCACUACGGUGCUGAAGUGACAAAUGCCCUGCUUCCAGGAAAAGCCUCUAAGCAUCAGGUAACAUCAAAUCGUACCCCAAACCGACACAGGUGGUCAGGUAGAGAAUACCAAGGCGCUUGAGAGAACUCGGGUGAAGGAACUAGGCAAAAUGGUGCCGUAACUUCGGGAGAAGGCACGCUGAUGGUAGGUGAAGUGACUUGCUCAUGGAGCUGAAAUCAGUCGAAGAUACCAGCUGGCUGCAACUGUUUAUUAAAAACACAGCACUGUGCAAACACGAAAGUGGACGUAUACGGUGUGACGCCUGCCCGGUGCCGGAAGGUUAAUUGAUGGGGUUAUCCUCGCGGAGAAGCUCUUGAUCGAAGCCCCGGUAAACGGCGGCCGUAACUAUAACGGUCCUAAGGUAGCGAAAUUCCUUGUCGGGUAAGUUCCGACCUGCACGAAUGGCGUAAUGAUGGCCAGGCUGUCUCCACCCGAGACUCAGUGAAAUUGAACUCGCUGUGAAGAUGCAGUGUACCCGCGGCAAGACGGAAAGACCCCGUGAACCUUUACUAUAGCUUGACACUGAACACUGGUCCUUGAUGUGUAGGAUAGGUGGGAGGCUUUGAAGUGUGGACGCCAGUCUGCAUGGAGCCAUCCUUGAAAUACCACCCUUUAAUGGCUGGUGUUCUAACGUGGGCCCGUGAUCCGGGUUGCGGACAGUGUCUGGUGGGUAGUUUGACUGGGGCGGUCUCCUCCUAAAGAGUAACGGAGGAGCACGAAGGUCAGCUAAUCCUGGUCGGACAUCAGGAGGUUAGUGCAAUGGCAUAAGCUGGCUUGACUGCGAGCGUGACGGCGCGAGCAGGUGCGAAAGCAGGUCAUAGUGAUCCGGUGGUUCUGAAUGGAAGGGCCAUCGCUCAACGGAUAAAAGGUACUCCGGGGAUAACAGGCUGAUACCGCCCAAGAGUUCAUAUCGACGGCGGUGUUUGGCACCUCGAUGUCGGCUCAUCACAUCCUGGGGCUGAAGUAGGUCCCAAGGGUAUGGCUGUUCGCCAUUUAAAGUGGUACGCGAGCUGGGUUUAGAACGUCGUGAGACAGUUCGGUCCCUAUCUGCCGUGGGCGCUGGAGAAUUGAGGGGGGCUGCUCCUAGUACGAGAGGACCGGAGUGGACGCAUCACUGGUGUUCGGGUUGUCAUGCCAAUGGCAUUGCCCGGUAGCUAAAUGCGGAAGAGAUAAGUGCUGAAAGCAUCUAAGCACGAAACUUGCCCCGAGAUGAGUUCUCCCUGACUCCUUGAGAGUCCUGAAGGAACGUUGAAGACGACGACGUUGAUAGGCCGGAUGUGUAAGCGCAGCGAUGCGUUGAGCUAACCGGUACUAAUGAACCGUGAGGCUUAACCUU
This 2907-nucleotide ribosomal RNA is filed under the name Klebsiella oxytoca. Its description in RNAcentral is "23S ribosomal RNA". It matches the Rfam family "Bacterial large subunit ribosomal RNA". Lineage: Bacteria; Pseudomonadati; Pseudomonadota; Gammaproteobacteria; Enterobacterales; Enterobacteriaceae. The record is from RNAcentral.